AUGGACCACGUGCCCACUGCGGUUCUGAGCGCGCCGUCCGCGCCCACCUGACAGCUGCUCGCGACGUUUUGUUAGCC
Molecule: small RNA, 77 nt
Filed under: Xanthomonas oryzae
Lineage: Bacteria; Pseudomonadati; Pseudomonadota; Gammaproteobacteria; Lysobacterales; Lysobacteraceae
Description: sX9
Rfam family: Xanthomonas sRNA sX9
Source: RNAcentral